GCGUUUGUCAUUUGGGAAAGGUGUUGGAUUUGCUCUCAGGGAAUAUGCUGCCAAGAUAUCAACUCCUGGAGCAGUAAUAUCUGGCUACAAAUAUUUGUAUAUGUAAUGUUCAAGAAAGUUCAUUAAAACGAAAUUAAUCAUGGGUUUAAAGAAAAUGUAUAUAUAUAUAUAUAGAUACCCUGUACCUUAAGAAUGUCUGGACUAAUUUUAACAGGUCCCCUACUUGAGAAGUCAGCUACAAUGGGAGCUUUUGGAUCAUGAAUGCCUAUGCUUUGAUGUAUUUUUCCUGUUGGAUUUCUG
Molecule: long non-coding RNA, 300 nt
Filed under: Carica papaya (papaya)
Lineage: Eukaryota; Viridiplantae; Streptophyta; Magnoliopsida; Brassicales; Caricaceae
Description: long non-coding RNA (CPAP_LNC003365)
Source: RNAcentral